CAGCUAAAGUAGCAUAGUGUAGAUGAGUUAAUUUUAUUUAUUUAUUUUUUAUUUUUCUUAUGAACUUUCUCAAAACACCUUUUUGUUGAAUUGACCUGUCAGUUAUCGCUUUUGCACUGCUGCAGCCUAUUUCUGUUUAAACUGCGUUUAUUUUUGGUUCCUACUGUAAAUAUUGUUCUGGGAGGACGGUUAUUAGUGUUGCACAAAGUAAGGUACUGUAACGUAGAUGCAGCAGCCAGGCAAAAGCUGCCUAACUGAGCUGCUGGUAAGAUGUGUGCUAAUGCUACCUCUCACUCUCAGUAAUGUUUAUAACGUUACAAAUAGUUCUCACAGUUUUUGUGCCGCAUAAAAAUAUAAUGUUAAGUGUCUUUAAGUGUUUUAAAAACUUUGGGUUUGGUUAAAAUUAAACUGUUACUCUUAUAAAGUUUGUCUGAAGUUUUCCCUCCAAAAUGUGUUUGUUGGGCCGCAGGUAUCUGACUGUGACUGUGUGUACCAUACCCGGUGAUUGAGUGUGUCCCACACUGUGUCUUAUAGGGAGAAGCUGCCUAACUGAGCUGCUGGGAUCUGACUGUGACUGUGUGUACCAUACCCGGUGGUUGAGUGUGUCCCACACUGUCUUAUAGGAAUAAACUGACACAGAUUCUGA
This is a long non-coding RNA of Xiphophorus hellerii (green swordtail), 646 nucleotides long. RefSeq lists it as uncharacterized. Lineage: Eukaryota; Metazoa; Chordata; Actinopteri; Cyprinodontiformes; Poeciliidae. The transcript is spliced from 2 exons. The record is from RefSeq and is a predicted model, not a curated record.